UUUGGCACUAGCACAUUUUUGCUUGUCUCUCUCUGCUCUGAGCAAUCAUGUGCAGUGCCAAUAU
Molecule: microRNA precursor, 64 nt
Filed under: Dasypus novemcinctus (nine-banded armadillo)
Lineage: Eukaryota; Metazoa; Chordata; Mammalia; Cingulata; Dasypodidae
Description: microRNA dno-mir-96 precursor
Gene: dno-mir-96
Rfam family: mir-96 microRNA precursor family
Source: miRBase by way of RNAcentral